GACGAACGCUGGCGGCGUGCUUAACACAUGCGAGUCGAACGGAAAGGCCCUGCUUUUGUGGGGUGCUCGAGUGGCGAACGGGUGAGUAACACGUGAGUAACCUGCCCUUGACUUUGGGAUAACUUCAGGAAACUGGGGCUAAUACCGGAUAGGAGCUACUGCUGCAUGGUGGGGGUUGGAAAGUUUCGGCGGUUGGGGAUGGACUCGCGGCUUAUCAGCUUGUUGGUGGGGUAGUGGCUUACCAAGGCUUUGACGGGUAGCCGGCCUGAGAGGGUGACCGGCCACAUUGGGACUGAGAUACGGCCCAGACUCCUACGGGAGGCAGCAGUGGGGAAUAUUGCACAAUGGGCGGAAGCCUGAUGCAGCAACGCCGCGUGCGGGAUGACGGCCUGCGGGUUGGAAACCGCUUUCGCCUGUGACGAAGCGUGAGUGACGGUAAUGGGUAAAGAAGCACCGGCUAACUACGUG
This 468-nucleotide ribosomal RNA is filed under the name uncultured bacterium. RNAcentral describes it as "partial 16S ribosomal RNA". It matches the Rfam family "Bacterial small subunit ribosomal RNA", at positions 28 to 507 of the family's 1533-position model. The record is from RNAcentral.